RNAcentral lists this ribosomal RNA (468 nucleotides) under uncultured bacterium. Its description in RNAcentral is "partial 16S ribosomal RNA". It matches the Rfam family "Bacterial small subunit ribosomal RNA", at positions 28 to 507 of the family's 1533-position model. The record is from RNAcentral.
GACGAACGCUGGCGGCGUGCUUAACACAUGCAAGUCGAACGGAAAGGCCCUGCUUUUGUGGGGUGCUCGAGUGGCGAACGGGUGAGUAACACGUGAGUAACCUGCCCUUGACUUUGGGAUAACUUCAGGAAACUGGGGCUAAUACCGGAUAGGAGCUCCUGCUGCAUGGUGGGGGUUGGAAAGUUUCGGCGGUUGGGGAUGGACUCGCGGCUUAUCAGCUUGUUGGUGGGGUAGUGGCUUACCAAGGCUUUGACGGGUAGCCGGCCUGAGAGGGUGACCGGCCACAUGAGGACUGAGAUACGGCCCAGACUCCUACGGGAGGCAGCAGUGGGGAAUAUUGCACAAUGGGCGGAAGCCUGAUGCAGCAACGCCGCGUGCGGGAUGACGGGCUUCGGGUUGUAAACCGCUUUCGCCUGUGACGAGGCGUGAGUGACGGUAAUGGGUAAAGAAGCACCGGCUAACUACGUG